Long non-coding RNA from Equus asinus (donkey), 1704 nucleotides. NCBI's taxonomy places the organism in Eukaryota, Metazoa, Chordata, Mammalia, Perissodactyla, Equidae. The record is from Ensembl.
GCAGGCCAGCCCCUAGAGAAGGCUUCCUUACCUGAGAUUUUCCCUUCUGACACUCUCACUGUUUGAGUCUUGCUCUGUUUUCAUUCUUUUUUCUUAGAAACUGUUUAUUUUCCAUCAACCUUACUUCCAUUUUCUGUUGAACAGUCUGUGGAAGGACAGACUAAGACCAUUCAGUGGUUGUACCCACCCGUUUGGUGGCCUGAGCAGUGGCAGUUGCAGACCAAUCAGACUCAGUAGGGAACUGCUGAACAGGCUCAGGGGACACCUGCACCUUCCGACCAGCCGGCGACCUCUGGUUGGGUAGCAGUAAAUUCGGGAGUUGGAGCAGUCCAUUCACCCUGAAAUUCCUCUUGGCCACAGCCAUUUCAGCCGCGGCCUGCUCUUCCUUUUCAAUCUCUUCAGGAUCUCUGAGAAGUAGAGACGAGACGCGACUUCCAAGGGAGUUCAUGGGAUGGCGCCACGCAUGCGCAGAAUUUCCCGGACCACCAUCCAUCAUCUCAGUCCCGCUCAGUGAGCUCCCUGUGGUUGCACGGGAUGACACUGUCCACAUGGCAGAGGAGGGUCUGUGUUAUAUAACAAUGGUUGGCAGGUUAACGUAGGACGCCUCUGUGAGAGGCUGGUGGUCGGCCCUGGGAUCAGUAACCAGCGGAGGUUGGGGCUGCAGGAAGGCCCCCUGGAACUGGUGAGUGAAGUGGCCUCCAAAGGAGUGGUCUACCUGCAGCAGCAAACUUCAGCACAGCUCAUUGGCCGGUAUUCCUGAAGGAAAUGACUUGGACAUCAGCCGGGUUUUCAGUGGCAACAAUGGCGCAAGCUGCUUGCAGAAGCUUUUCCCAGGUUCUCUUCAGAUUAAUGUAGAGGCCAUCACUUUUCCUUUUGAGGAUGUACUGUUCCAUUUGGAAGUCAAGGUUGAUGCCACCUAAGUGAAUUCCUGCUGCAAGGAAUUUGAGAAAAUCCUCCUUCCUCAUUUGCAGGACAUCAAGGGCUCUGGACAUUGUGAAAGUUUCCCUUUAAGUUAGUGCGGGAACCCAGAACAGUGCAGACGGACCCCUCUAUGGGUAGCGCAGAAAGACCUUGCUCUGUUUUUCAUAACACCUCUUGGUUUUCACAGGACAUCUCUCCAACUGAUUGAAGACUUAGACUGUACUUAUUCUUGUCUUCUUUGGCCCAGGACCCUCAACCACGCUCUGUGGGGUGGUUGACUCCUCACAGUCCCAGCUGCUUUCCUGUGGAUGCACCCCACUGGCCGAUACGUCUUGUAAAGUGUGGCUUCCACAACUGGACACGAGAUUCCAGCUGAUGUUCCUGCAAAUCAGAAUUGAUUUGAACUAAGGUGAAUGAUAAACAUGCGCUGUCAGACUGCCUCCUGGGAGCCGACUGGAUGACUUAUUAGAAAAGGUUGACAGAGAAGAAAAGGAGGUCUAUGGACAUAUGCAUUGACAAAUGAGGCCCCUCUGCAAAUGAAGAUGGUGUCAUCCAGCAGCUAGAGGCUAAAAAGGGGCACUCUACAAACCGAAUGAAAACAUAUUGAGUUAUAAUCAGAAGCACAAGCAAAUGGAAGCAAAAGUGUGACUAUCAACAGCGAGCUGCAGUGUGGAUUCUCGGUACGGCGGGACUGGUCUCCAUCAAGUGUUUUGUGCGAGUUUAGACAGCAACAGUGAUGUCACCUAGGAAGGCUCUUCCCGGGGUCAGAGUCUACAAGGGAGG